Long non-coding RNA from Motacilla alba alba, 6448 nucleotides. RefSeq lists it as uncharacterized. NCBI's taxonomy places the organism in Eukaryota, Metazoa, Chordata, Aves, Passeriformes, Motacillidae. The record is from RefSeq and is a predicted model, not a curated record. The transcript is spliced from 2 exons.
GUCAUUGUGUUCUUUUCCUGAGUCAUUCCUCACCUUGUAACUCUGUAAUGUGCAGCCUGCUCUGCCGUGACACCGGGGCCAGGCUCAGCCUGCUCCCUGCUCAGUGGAAGGAGGAAAUGUAUCCACUCUGCUGCUGCUGCUGCUGCUUUCAGGUAUCUGUUUCAGUGGCUCACUGCAGUGAUGCACAGCACCCCUCCAGCGCUCACAGAGAGGAGACAAUCAUCAUCAUUAAGAGGUGUGAGGCCGUCAUUGUGGAUCUUGACGUGCAAGGUGGACCUCAGCAAAUUCCACAUUGCUUCUGUGAAACAGACAUUCAGGUUAAUGUUAUAUAUAAACCAGCUGAGUCCCAGCAUGCCACAGACCCUAAAUCACAUCUCCUGCGUGCAAACUGAAAAGAAAAGGGAUGAUGAAUAAGGGAUGCCUACUGAAAUGUUACAUAAACAUUCAGGUGCUGGUAGAAAUGUAUUACACACAUGGGUAUCACUGCAGGCAUUUCUGGGAUAAAGCCUCUCCAAAGGAAAACAGUUGGACAGUUUUAUUGAUAAGGUUCUUCUGAAAGGAAAGGACAGUCGGCUUUCUUUCAAAGGCAAAGAAAAGGAUCAAAGUGAUCCAGAUAGUUUGCUGUAUUUAAAAAGUAUUUUAUGACAUUCUAGCAAACUGUAUUUAUAAAAAUGGUGCAAAGAGAUGUUGAUGUAUGAAGACCUGCUUAUGUUGCCCUGGAAACUGAAUUUUCAAGCUAAUUUAGGAAAAUCUGCUCUGUCUAAAGCUUUCUGAAGUCUUGUCUCAAGCAAAUAAGAAGGCUUUUUAUCACAGAACUGCAAAAUGAUGUAAUAUUUAAAAUCAUUUCUAGCCACAUAGGAUUGAAAUGUUUUUAAAUUCUUCACCCAUAACUAUUUGAAUGCAAUAUUUUGUUGUUACCAUUACAGUCUGCAUUGUCCAGGAUGCAUUGGAGAGUGCAGCUCUGUUUUAAGACAUGAUUAUGCAAAAAUGGCAUUCCCUUUCUCAGUAUUUUCCCUCUACUAAGAAUACCGGAUUGCAGCCAUGUCCCCCACUUGUGAGUGAAGAUUGUCAGUAUGUUUUACUGCUCUUGAUUUUAUACAGGGUGUACAGUGCUAGGAGAGGAAGAGGAGGCUUGAUUUUGGUUUUCUGAUUAGUGUGUUUUUGAUUAGACUUGAACCAGUAAGUGUGCCAUCUUUAUCUCUUGCCUUAGAUUCCUCCAUUUGGGCAUUUAGGAGAGAUAUCAAAUAUUUUGCAGAUGGAUGUUAGGUAACUUUGAUCCAGAAAAACAAUAAAAAUAAACAGUAUGAAGGCUUGCAAUGCUGCAUGACACUGUGGAAUUAAUACUGUUGCUUUUACAAUUAAAUCCAAAGUAUUUAUUAUUUUGUACUGCCUUUUUUUUUUCUUUUAACUGAAGUACAGCUGAUUUUCUGGAUUUAUGCAGAUUUUUCUAAAUUGUGGGUUUCCAAAAGCUUCCAAAAUCUGGUUUUCUUUCCUCCUUAUGAGGAUGGUAAUAAGUACUGCAUGCGCCCAUUCUCCUCCUCACAGCAUAAAGAGCAUAUGGGUAUUAGAUGACUUCAUAGGUUCAGAAACUAUAAUUAGGGCUUUCUGUCUUGUGUGAGGUUUCACAUCAGUCUUGGGAGCUUCCAGUAGUUUCUCUGAUCUUAUUUGUAUUUUAAAAUCCCGUGUUGUACGACCAUGCUUGCUGAAGAGUCAGCAAGGAUUUGGGGUGGGGUGAGGCUGCAGCGGCGUCUGCCCGUUCCCACGGCUGAGGCUGUGCAGCCAUCAGAGCCAGAAGCUGCACAGGUCUGGCAUUUCAGGGAAAUAUUGGAGGUGCACGGACACACUGCACAGCCAGUGCUAAUGUACUAAUGUAGGGGAGCCCAAGCCUGAGUGGUGGGAGUUUGGCCAAGUUUAUGUGGUCUUAGAGUGCUUUUUAAAAAAACAAAAGGAUUUUGCUUCUGAACUGGGUCAUUUUAAUAUGGAAACAAUGAGACACAGUAAACCAGGAGCCACAUGAGGCCAUUGUUUUUUAGAGUGGGUUUGUACUCCAAAAAAAAAAAUUUACAGCUUUUAGCAGGAUGCAGCCCACUUGAAUUCAAGUGAGGUUCAAUGCCACUUCAGGAAAAUCCAUGAAAUCUGUUUGGUGGUCUGUAUAAUCAUUUUAUUGAAAAUACCUACAAGCAAAACUGCAUGGAUCAUAUGUAAUUUUAUCCUUUUUAAAGCAUUUGCUUUUUAUAGCAAACAGUUGCAUAUCUCAAGAGGACUCUAUUUGCUGUACAGAAGUGAUGAGUUUAACAAAUAGAAAUGGAUUACUGCAUGGGCUACUCUCAGCCAUUUAAAAUCUUAUUCUGUGCAGAAGCACAAAAACAUGCAAAAAGAGAAGUGUAGGACAGUCCAAGACUGGACAGUAAAGAUAAAUGUCACCCAUUUCAGAAAGGAGGAAGAGCCAGUGGAAAAAACAGAGCUUUUGCCUUGCUAUGAAAUCCUUUGUGUUGGACAGCCCCGUGUUGCUCCUUUGGUGUGUAAGGAUGGAAGAGAGCACAAAGGAGCCUGUCCAUCCUCAGGCACUGAUUGUGCAGGCAGAGCGUUCAUGCUUUCUGUGCCUGGAAAAACAGCUGAUGCUCUUGUGACUAAAGUCAGGGAGAGGCCAGGUGUUCUCAUCACGUUGCUCACUCUCACGGUAUUUUGCAUGUCUCAGUCAUGAAAAGCUUUCCCUCUGCCCACACUUGUGCCUGAAAAACACAUCCAAGCUCCUUCUGAGACGGGCACCCGGAUUCUGCUGGUUGUGGAAUGCUGGGCAAGGACAGCCAGCCCAGUAGAGGCCCAAAGGGCAAAGCCAAGCCACAGAGGUCAGGGCUGUGGGAAGGGGGCUGGACAACAGCCCCUGCCCAUCAGCAGGUGCUGGUGCUGUUGGAGAUGUGUGCUGCCUGACAAGCUGUUCCACUAGCUCGGGAUCUGGUGGUGUUCCCGCAAAGAAUGAGCUCCGGAAUUCUGAAAUGCUAAUCAGACAGCAGAGCCUUGCCUCAGAGCCGUUCCCAAGGGGAAGCUAUUCUGGAGCUAUACAUUCUUGAAACUCUAAGUCCUAAAAGCAGCUUUAUCUCUGAGCCCGCACAGACCUGGGAGCCUUGAACAAGCCAGUGGCCCAGCCAGGGAGCUGUCGAGGAGGUAGGCAGGUGUCAUGGCAGGAAGCCUGGGGACUUCUUGAACAAACUACUCUGAUCUUGCAAAACUUCUAUAAAAUGAAACCAAUGUCACUAAGCAUUUUGGAGGCACAAAUGUAAGUAUUCUUUUGAUUUGAGAUAAGGGAAUAUUGGCUAGUUGGAUGGGUUUUUUUUCUUUUUGUUUCAUCAGCCCUUAUUUUUCAGCAGCAUUAGGUAAUUAUGUUGCCAAGUAACUCACUGCCCUCUUGAAAUUCCUGUCUUAAAAUAAAGUACCCUGUAGUGCAUGGUGAUGCGGAUGUAAGCAGAUUUUAGGGAGCACACUCAUAUGUUUGGAGGCAAUUUUUUGCCAUGGGGCUGCUUAAUGAAGUGGCUUAAGGCUCUAGUGGGACCAGAGUUGCUUCCAGAUGUGCAUUGCAGAUGAACACAUAGCACAUAUUCGAGGCACUGUGGCAGCUCCAGUGAGGCCACCCAAGCUGCAGCCACACAGCUGAGGAGGAGGAAGAGGGCAGACCUUCACAGCAGCCCGCUGGGUUGUGCUUGGAAGCACAGAGUGCAGGACGUGGGGGCACUGGGGCUGCUACCUUCGCUUGCCUGUUGGAACACGCUGCAUCCCACGAAGCAGAAAACGCUGCUCCCUCUGCUACAGAAAAAGCGUUACAUUUUUAAAGAAAAGCUACGAGCUCAUGAGUGAUGUAUGAGAGCAAAUGGCUUUCUAACCCAUUCACCCUUGCAAGAAGGAACCAUGCCAGUACUUUGUGCUUGGGUAGAGCCUGCUGUCUUCCUGUGUCAGCUCAGGUGUGAGGGUAUUGCCCUGUCUGGUCGGUGCUGCAAUGGACCAGCCCAAGGCAGCACUCAGUGCCAGCACUGCAGCUCCAUGCUUCCCACCCUCCUACACUUACCACAAAUCUCAGAUGAGUCUUUUGAGACUUCUUGCAGAUAAUGUAUAUCUACCCUUUAGCUCUUAAAGCUGCUCUUCAGAGCGAUAGAAGGCAUUAAUUUUGGGGGGAAUAAUUUGGACAUAUAAUUAGAGUGAUGUAUGUGGCACAUGGUAUCGUUCCGAUGGAGCAUGAUCAGCAGCCAUGUUAGCCAGUAAAUCAUGAACCAAAGGAAAUCUAAAGCUGACUGAAGUCAAAUCAGCAGUAUAACAAAACAUGACAGCUAAGUAUAUAUUUGAGUCUCUGCAGAUAUUUAUACCGUGUGCUCAUGGGGCAGUAGUAACGUACAUCUGUCUGUUGGCUCUGCUCAUGCAUUUAAUAUAAACGUGUUAUUUGUUCUCUUGGCCCUAUGGACUAACAUCAGUAUUAGCUGUUUCUAUAACAUUACCAGACCUUCUUCUAGCCAUCAUAGGAAACUAUUGUCAGGCUGGUUUUAAAUUUAUUACUUCUCAUAGAAGUAAUGUCACAGCCCAUCUGAACUCCUCGAUCAAUGUGCUGUUAAAGCCAGGGCAGCUUAUCACCGACUUUCAGACCUGUCAUCUAAAAUUACUUUCUGCGCACCCUCUUAAAUUUCCAAACUUCCUAUAAACUCUUGAAUUUAUGACUGCAUUGGUUUUGGUCCCUGUGGUGUAUUUGAAAGGUGGCCACAGUUUGAUAGCACUGUAAAAGGAGCAGUAAGAGUGACUUACAAUUCUACUUCUGAGAAAUCAUCUCUAUAAGGUGAAACUGAUUAACUGAAGUCAGCAGAAGUUUUACUAUUGACCUGCAAGAGCUCAUGACUGCAUCUUUUACACCUGUCCUGUAUUAUUCUCGGAUUUAUCAGCAGAUACAAUGCUUUAGGGGGAUUUCUCUGAAGCUCCCCACCAGCCAGCAGGUUCUGUAACAAAUGGGUAAGGCUCCUGGUUACUUUAGAUCCAGAGUAAAGCUGCUGUUCUGGAUUUAUUUUGACAUAAUGAAAAGUAAAUAGACCCUCAGUUUGAAAUUAAAUUAAUCCUCUUGGUCUUAAUGAACCCAGCCAAAUUAUGAAGCUCAUGUGCAAACAAGGCAAGCAGUCCUAAGACUUUGCCCCUCGGCAGCAUGCAGGGAGAUUUAGGACUUGGCUUUCCUCUUCCUUCCCACUUGAUUCUAAAAUAAUGGCUUUUGAAGCUUUCAAAGCAUCUGCAGUGAGAACAGAGGGCUUUUUUUUUUAUUUAACAGUAUUUGGUUUGCAGUACAAUUCCUGUCAUUUAGGACUAACAAGUAAGUUGAGUAUAGUUAAGUACAAAACUGGGACAUUCCCAGUGCACUGUGGAGAGGAGGACUGACCUCCUGCCGUGGUGCUUUUGAGCUUGGUGGAGUUAGCAAGACAUCAUCCUUAGUUAUCAACUGAACCAGAGAUGAGUAAAGUGACUGAGACAUGGAUGUUCUGCCUUUUAUGAAGUAUUGUCAGCUGGGGUUAGAUGCCCACUUGGUUCAGGAAGCACAGCACUGGUGAGUUUCAGGUUCUUCAUUGGAAAAAAAAAAAACAUCUUCUGAUGUAAAUUCACUGAAAUAACCUUGAUAUAUUUACUGAUAUGAAAUUGCUAAAGUAAGAUGGUUUCCUGUGCUUACACAACAGGCAAGGAGCCUUAGUUAUUACAAGGACAUCACACAACCCAAUAAUCCUGAACAUAAGGCUCACACAUUUUCUAAACAUUAGGUAUCUGAAAUAUUUCCAGGUUUUAAAUGUUUCUCAGGAGUGUUGAUAAGCCCUUAAGCAGUGGGUUAGUGCAUAAAAUCUAAUCAAAUGCAAAGGAAGAACAAAUGAGAGAGGAGAAAAGUUGACUUCUGCAUUUGUAAUUAUUAUUCUGGGAUUAAUAAGGUUAGAUUCAAAGCCUAUCUGACUGUAUGGGAUUAGCAAUAACACAAUUACUGUCAGAAGCAAGGUUUUCACAAUGAAAAUAUCUCUGUAAAUUGAGAUUUUAAUGAAUUGAAACUUCCUUGUACAUAAAUAUAAUUAAGAUGAUCUCAGUCAAGGCAAUAAUUGGUUUAAGUCAAGUGUAAGAUACUUGGGAGUAUGUGUUUUUUCUUUCUUGUGUGUAUUUUAUUCUUAAUUAUCCUUGGGUUCCCAGAAAUGUAACUCUGAGCUGUAUUGCUGUGUGUGAAGCAGCUAAUUUGCACUCACAGAAUCUUUCAUGAGUUCUCAUGAGUGAGGUGCUGCCAUCCCAGUGUUGUAGACAUCAUUUUUGAUAGACAGAUAUUUCAUGCUUGUUGGAAGAGGUGCUUCUUGAGGCAGUUUUAGGAAUUGUAUGUACAGUAAUUAAUAUUGGCCUUUGUAAAUACUGUUAUUACAAUGUUAAGGUUUAUUCCUAAAUAAAGGAAGUCAAGAUUUAA